This 123-nucleotide ribosomal RNA is filed under the name Salvator merianae (Argentine black and white tegu). Lineage: Eukaryota; Metazoa; Chordata; Lepidosauria; Squamata; Teiidae. The record is from RNAcentral.
CCUCCCUGUCUUGCCUUCCUGCAACUGCCCAUCGCUACUCUUGCGUGGGCCCAGAAGCUAAGCAGGUCAGGCCUGGUUAGUCCUUGGAUGGGAAGCCGCCAGGAAAUCCCAGGACUGUGAGUU